Molecule: ribosomal RNA, 490 nt
Filed under: uncultured bacterium
Lineage: Bacteria
Description: partial 16S ribosomal RNA
Rfam family: Bacterial small subunit ribosomal RNA
Source: RNAcentral
AUUGAACGCUGGCGGCAGGCCUAACACAUGCAAGUCGAACGGUAACAGGGAUCAGCUUGCUGAUUCGCUGACGAGUGGCGGACGGGUGAGUAAUGUCUGGGAAACUGCCUGAUGGAGGGGGUUAACUACUGGAAACGGUAGCUAAUACCGCAUAACGUCGCAAGACCAAAGAGGGGGACCUUCGGGCCUCUUGCCAUCGGAUGUGCCCAGAUGGGAUUAGCUAGUAGGUGGGGUAACGGCUCACCUAGGCGACGAUCCCUAGCUGGUCUGAGAGGAUGACCAGCCACACUGGAACUGAGACACGGUCCAGACUCCUACGGGAGGCAGCAGUGGGGAAUAUUGCACAAUGGGCGCAAGCCUGAUGCAGCCAUGCCGCGUGUAUGAAGAAGGCCUUCGGGUUGUAAAGUACUUUCAGCGGGGAGGAAGGGAGUAAAGUUAAUACCUUUGCUCAUUGACGUUACCCGCAGAAGAAGCACCGGCUAACUCCGUG